RNAcentral lists this ribosomal RNA (496 nucleotides) under uncultured bacterium. RNAcentral describes it as "bacterial SSU rRNA". It matches the Rfam family "Bacterial small subunit ribosomal RNA", at positions 899 to 1397 of the family's 1533-position model. The record is from RNAcentral.
ACUCAAAGGAAUAGACGGGGGCCCGCACAAGCAGUGGAGUAUGUGGUUUAAUUCGAGGCAACGCGAAGAACCUUACCAGGGUUUGACAUCCCGCGCCAGAGGCAGAGAUGCUUUGUUCCUUUCGGGGACGCGGAGACAGGUGGUGCAUGGUUGUCGUCAGCUCGUGUCGUGAGAUGUUCGGUUAAGUCCGGCAACGAGCGCAACCCUCGUGGCCAGUUGCCAUCAUUCAGUUGGGCACUUUGGCAAGACUGCCGUUGACAAAACGGAGGAAGGUGGGGAUGACGUCAAAUCAUCAUGCCCCUUAAGUCCUGGGCUACACACGUACUACAAUGGGCGUUACAACGGGCAGCCACACCGCGAGGUGGAGCAAAUCCCCAAAGGCGCCCCCAGUUCGGAUUGCAGGCUGCAACUCGCCUGCAUGAAGCCGGAAUUGCUAGUAAUGGCAGGUCAGCAUACUGCCGUGAAUACGUUCCCGGGCCUUGUACACACCGCCCGU